CGGGUGGAGCACUACGGCAGUAGUACAGAGGGUCUGAUUAUGGCUCAGAUUGAACGCUGGCGGGAUGCUUCACAUGCAAGUCGAACGGCAGCACGGACUUCGGUCUGGUGGCGAGUGGCGAACGGGUGAGUAAUGUAUCGGAACGUGCCUAGUAGCGGGGGAUAACUACGCGAAAGCGUAGCUAAUAAUGGCCACAGCCCUCUUCGGGGAAAGCGGGGGACCUUCGGGCCUCGCACUAUUAGAGCGGCCGAUAUCGGAUUAGCUAGUUGGUGGGGUAACGGCUCACCAAGGCGACGAUCCGUAGCUGGUUUGAGAGGACGACCAGCCACACUGGGACUGAGACACGGCCCAGACUCCUACGGAGGCAGCAGUGGGGAAUUCUUGACAAUGGGGAAACCCUGAUCCAGCCAUCCCGCGUGCGAGCUAAAGGCCUUCGGGUUGUAAAGCACCUUGGUAGGAAGAAACGGCACGGAUAAUACCCGGCAACGACGGCGCCCCCGCAGAAUAAGCACCGGCUAACUACGUGCCAGCAGCCGCGGUAAUACGUGAAAAGGUGGGGCGUUAAUCGGAAUUACUAGCGUAAAGCGUAAGCAGGCGGUCUGAAAGAAAGAUGUGAAAUCCCAGAGCUUAACUUUGAACUGCAUUUUUAACUACCGAGCCAGGAGGUGUCAGAGGAGGUGGAAUUCCGCGUAAAGAGUAAAUGCGUAGAUAUGCGGAGGAACACCGAUGGCAGAAGGCAGCCUCCUGGGAUAACACUGACGCUCAUGCACGAAAGCGUGGGGAGCAAACAGGAUUAGAUACCCUGGUAGUCCACGCCCUAAACGAUGUCAACUAGCUGUUGGGGCUUUCGGGCCUGGUAGCGCAGCUAACGCGUGAAGUUGACCGCCUGGGAGAGCAUGGUCGCAAAAGAUUUAAACUCAAAGGAAUUGACGGGACCCCGCACAAGCGGUGAUGAUGUGGGGAUUAAUUCGACAACGAAAACCUUACCUACCCUUGACAUGUCUGGAAUCCCGAAGAGAUUUGGGAGUGCUCGCAAAGAGAACCGGAACACAGGUGCUGCAUGGCUGUCGUCAGCUCGUGUCGUGAGAUGUUGCUGUCCCGCAACGAGCGCAACCUGUCAUUAGUUGCCAUGAAAGGAAAAUUCUUCUAAUGACUGCCGGUGACAAACCGGAGGAAGGUGGGGAUGACGUCAAGUCCUCAUGCGCUCCAGGUAGGGCUUCAAGACGUCGUCAUACAAUGGCCGGACAGAGGGCCUGCCAACCCGCGAGGGGGAGCCGACCCAGAAACCCGAUCGUAGUCCGAUCACGCUCCUGCAACUCGACUGGCGUGAAGUUUGGAACUGUCAUAGUGGACUCUGAUCAGCACGGAAUGCGAAGAAUACGUCCUGGUCUGUAUACACCGCCCGUCACACCAUGAGUGGUUUUACCAGAAGUAGUUAGCCUAACCGGCAAGGAGUACGAGCCGAAUACUACUUGGGUAGGAUUCGAUGACUGGGGUGAAGUCAGAAUACAGU
This 1513-nucleotide ribosomal RNA is filed under the name uncultured Bordetella sp. RNAcentral's name for it is "partial 16S-23S ribosomal RNA intergenic spacer". It matches the Rfam family "Bacterial small subunit ribosomal RNA". Lineage: Bacteria; Pseudomonadati; Pseudomonadota; Betaproteobacteria; Burkholderiales; Alcaligenaceae. The record is from RNAcentral.